Long non-coding RNA from Neodiprion fabricii, 2005 nucleotides. RefSeq lists it as uncharacterized. The transcript is spliced from 2 exons. Lineage: Eukaryota; Metazoa; Arthropoda; Insecta; Hymenoptera; Diprionidae. The record is from RefSeq and is a predicted model, not a curated record.
GUUGCCGAUGGAGGUGGCAACUCUGCCGAUUGUGGUAGUGGUGGUAUGUCUAAGGUCGGCGAUCCCGUUUGAGGAGCAGGCCAUUUUUUUUUUUUUUUUUUAUUUUCUUGAAAGCGAAAAAUCUCACUCGGUCCUCUUGCAUUUUUGAAAGAAAAAUUCGAACGCGCUCGUUCGCCUCCGCAUUUCAAUUUUCGAUAACGGAAUUUUUGUCCCACGAAAAAUUGAAUUAAUUUUGAGUCGUUAUUUAUUUUUUUUUUUUGUACUGGGGAUAAGGAAAAACGAUGCCUGUAAUCGUCUGUUCGAAAUUUGUUGUUACGAUCGAUAUACAGAUAUAUUUAUCAAGCCAAUAUAAUACAAUACGGAAAAGUAACUUGGGGUAUAAUCGUGGGAGAAAUAUUUAUAACGGUAAUCUUUUAACUGGUGAUUAAGUUUGUCAGAAAUAGAUCCGUCCGAUGGUUAAAAAAUUUUUACUAAUUACUUUGUCUACUUCUAGUCACGGUUUUUUCUUAUCAGAUUUCAAAAUAUCGCUCUUUUGGCCACAAAUACAAUGUUUUCUUUUAAGAAUAUUGGCGAUUUUUGGCGAAACAGAUAUAAUAAAACUAUGCAUUACGAACGAAAUACCGACACCGGUAGCCAAUGCGUCGAUUGCAUUAGCAGUUUUAAAAUUUCAGCCUGAGAAUAAACAUUUCCGAAUAUCUGACAACUCCGUGUUAUACGUGACAAACGUGACACAAUUGCUAAAUACCGUUGAUAAACUGAAUCGAUAAUAGAAUAGAAACUACGAACGAUAUUCGCAGGCUUCGUUUAUUUUCGUUUCCGUAAGGUCCGUAAUAAUAUUUCAAACGAAUACCAAGGAUUGCCUCAUAUUCCGAUUUGUUUAUGGUACGUUAACAUACUUUUCACAACUCGACAUUGCUCGAUAUGUGAUCGAUGAGAAGCGCCAAUCAACUAGCAGCUCAUCCCAUAUUAUAGGUAUGUAUACAUAUUGAAGUAUAUCUAUAGUUAGGUACAAGACAUUUAUCGCUCUGCAGGCAUUCAAAAACACGACGAUGUUUUAAAAGAUACGUUACUUACUACGUGGUGAUCAUAUAAAUAUUACAAUAUCUAUUACACAUAUAUUCAUACAUAUAACAUGAGUGAGGGAUAUUCAAGUAUGCAUGUAUUAAUGGUAAUAAUAGUAUGAUGAUAAAGCUUGGUUGCUUAAUGGUGCAAUAGUUUUUCUUUUUCAUAAAAUAUGACAUACGAAGGGAAGUGUCGUUAUUAAUAGAGAGAGAGAGAGAGAGAGAGAGAAUAGUGGGUGACAAAGCUGCAUUAUACUUAUAUUCCGUUUUCGUGAUAAAUAAUAGACAUUGAGCUAUUAUGCCGUGUGCAAGUAUUGUAAUAAUUAGGUAGAAUUACGCACGAAAUGUUAAAGUACGUGAUGCUUAUUUACAGAAUUGGAAUCUUUACUCGACAUUGGUCCGUGACCAGCCUCGGGUUUGUUUAUGCUUUAUUAUACUUUAAUUAUAUUUUACUCUUUCUUUCUUUCGAAUUUAUUAAAUUAAACUACACGAAAUCAGCAGUGUAUCGCGCUUCGUUAGCCGGUUUUUACUUGUUUUACCGUCCUCGAUUUAUUUCCAUCGCAUAGUAUUAAUGAACAAUUUGCCACUGUGGUACGAUUCCGGGUCUGAAUUUAUAUACUAUUUAAAUACUUUGUAUUAGGUAUAUUCUUUGCAUUUGAAUAUUGCGCUGGUAUUUAUAAGGUUUUGAGAGCGUUAGCAAUGAAAUGAAAAUAAUGUAACGAUACAUUUAAUUAAAUUCGUUAUAGCUGUGUCUCUAAAUCGCUACCUGCUGCUCGAAUUGGCGCUGCUCGAUUAUUGAGCGGGUAAAUUUAUCACGCAAUCGGCAUUUGAUUGAUAAUAAUCGAUGACCCCUGAACUGUUUUUUAAUCAACAACUUUGGCUCAAAUGCUUCUAUUUGAUAAUAGAUUCUCCAUCUCGCUACGCGAAAUUGACCAAAAUGAGAA